Molecule: ribosomal RNA, 3623 nt
Filed under: Hordeum vulgare
Lineage: Eukaryota; Viridiplantae; Streptophyta; Magnoliopsida; Poales; Poaceae
Description: eukaryotic LSU rRNA
Rfam family: Eukaryotic large subunit ribosomal RNA (bases 380-3609)
Source: RNAcentral
ACGACUCUUGGCAACGGAUAUCUCGGCUCUCGCAUCGAUGAAGAACGUAGAGAAAUGUGAUACCUAGUGCGAAUAGAAGAAUACCGCGAACAAUCAAGUCUUGGAACACAAGUUGCGCCCGAGGCCACUCGGCCGAUGGCACGCCUGCCUGGGUGUCACGCCAAAACAUGCUCCCAACCACCCUCUUCGGGAAUUGGGAUGCGACAUAUGGUCCCUCAUCCUGCAAGGGGCGAUGGGCCGAAGUUCGUGCUGCCGGCGUACCGCGCCGGACACAGCGCAUGGUGUGCGUUCUCGCUUUAUCAAUGCAGUGCAUCCGAUGCGUAGAUGGCAUCAUGGCCUCGAAACGACCAAGCGAUUGAAGUGCACGUUGUUUCGACCGUGACCCCAGGUCAGGCGGGACUACCAGCUGAGUUUAAGCAUAUAAAUAAGCGGAGGAGAAGAAACUAACAAGGAUUCCCCUAGUAACGACGAGGGAACCGCGAACAAGCCAGCUUGAGAAUCGGGCGGUUGUGCCAUUCGAAUUGUAGUCUGGAGAGGCGUCCUCAGUGACAGACCGGGCAAAGGGGCGUCUAGCAGGGUGAGAGACCCGUCUGGCCCGGACCCUGUCGCCCCACGAGGCGUCGUCAAUGAGUCAGGUUGUUGGGGAAUGUAUCCCAAAUCGGGCGGUAUACUCCAUGCAAGGCUAAAUACAGGCGAGAGACCGAUAGCGAACAAGUACCGUGAGGGAAAGAUGAAAAGGACUUUGAAAAGAGAGUCAAAGAGUGCUUGAAAUUCCCAAGAGGGAAGUGGAGUGGGGGCCGGCGAUGCGCUCCGGCCGUAUGGGGAACGACUCUUGCUGGUCCGUCGCUCGGCUCGGGGUGUGGACUAUUGUCGGCCGCGUCGGCGGCCAAAGCCCGGGGGCCCUAGGUUUUUCCGGUUGCCGUCGUUGACAUGGCCGGUACCCACGCGCCAAAAGGCGUGUCCGUCGGGGCACUGCACUGCAACGGUCUGCGGGCUCCCCUUCCGACCCGUCUUGAAACACGGACCAAGGAGUCUGACAUGCAUGCGAGUCGACGAGUUUUGUAACCUGGGAUGCGCAAGGAAGCUGACGAGUGGGAGGCCCUCCAGGGCCGCACCGCUGGCCGACCCUGAUCUCCUGUGAAGGGUUCGAGGUGGAGCACGCCUGUCGGGACCUGAAAGAUGGUGAACUAUGCCUGAGCGGGGUGAAGCCAAAGGAAACCUUGGUGGAGGCUCGAAUCGAUACUGAUGUGCAAAUCGUUCGUCUGACUUGGGUAUAGAAGCGAAAGACUAAUCGAACCAUCUAGUAGCUGGUUCCCUCCGAAGUUUCCCUCAGGAUAGCUGGAGCCCAUUACGAGUUCUAUCAGGUAAAGCCAAUGAUUACAGGCAUUGGGGAUGCAACGUCCUCGACCUAUUCUCAAACUUUAAAUUGGUAGGAUGGCUCGGGUGCUUCAGUGAGCCGUGCCACAGAAUCGGGUGCUCUAAGUGGGCCAUUUUUGGUAACCAGAACUGGCGAUGCGGGAUGAACCGGAAGCCAGGUUAUGGUGCCCAACUGCGCUUUAACCUAGAACCCACAAAGGGUGUUGGUCGAUUAAGACAGCAGGACGGUGGUCAUGGAAGUCGAAAUCCGCUAAGGAGUGAGUAAAAACUCACCUGCCGAAUCAACUAGCCCCGGAAAUUGAUGGCGCUGAAGCGCGCGACCCACAGCCGGCCAUCUGGGCGAGCGCCAUGCCCCGAUGAGUAGGAGGGCGCGGCGGCCGCUGCAAAACCCGGGGAGCGAGCCCGGGCGGAGCGGCUGUCGGUGCAGAUCUUGGUGGUAGUAGCAAAUAUUCAAAUGAGUACUUUGAAGGUCAAAGAGGAGAAUGGUUCCAUGUGAACGACACUUGCACAUUGGUAAAACGAUUCUAAGGGACGGGGUAACCCCGGCAGAUAGCGCGAUCACGCGAAUCCCCCGAAAGGGAAUCGGGCUAAAAUUUCCCGAGCCAGGAUGUGGCGGUUGACGGCGACGUUAGGAAGUCCGAAGACGCCGGCGGGGGCCUCAGGAAGAGUUAUCUUUUCUGCUUAAUGGCCUGCCAACCCUGGAAAUGGUUCAGCCGGAGGUAGGGUCCAGUGGCCGGAAGAGCACCGCACGUCGUGCGGUGUCCGGUGUACCCCCGGCGGCCCAUGAAAAUCCGGAGGACCGAGUACUGUUCACGCCCAGUCAUACUCAUAACCACAUCAGGUCUUCACGGUGAACAUCCUCUGGCUAAUGGAACAAUGUAGGUAAGGGAAGUCGGCAAAACGGAUCCGUAACUUCAGGAAAAGGAUUAGCUCUAAGGAUUGGGCUCGGGGGUCUCGGCGCCGAACCCGUCGGCUGUCGGCGGAUUGCUCGAGCUGCUCACACGGCUAGAGCGGGUCACCGUAUGCCGUGUGGGGGACGGACCGGGAAUCGCCCCUUCGAGGGCUUUACCAGAGCAUGAAACAGUCGACUCAGAGCUGGUAUAGACAAGGGGAAUCUGUAUGUUUAAUUAAAACAAAGCAUUGCGAUGGUCCUCGCGGAUGCUGACGCAAUGUGAUUUCGGCCCAGUGCUCUGAAUGUCAAAGUGAAGAAAUUCAACCAAGCACGGGUAAACGGCGGGAGUAACUAUGACUCUUAAGGUAGCCAAAUGCCUCGUUAUCUAAUUAUUGACGCGAAUGAAUGAAUUAACGAGAUUCCCACUAUCCCUGUCUACUAUCCAGCGAAACCAUAGCCAAGGGAACGUGCUUGGCGAAAUAACCGGGGAAAGAAGACCCUGUUGAGAUUGACUCUAGUGCGACUUUGUGAAUUGACUUGAGAGGUGUAGGAUAGGUGGGGAGUUUUGCUGGGGCGGCAAAUUUGUUAAAAGAGAAUGCAGGUGUCCUGAGAUGAGCUCAACGAGAACAGAAAUAUCGUGUGGAAAAAAGGGUAAAAGCUCGUUUGAUUUUGAUUUCCAAUAUGAAUACGACCCGUGAAAGCGUGGCCUAUCGAUCCUUUAGAUCUUCGAAGUUUAAAUCUAGAGGUGUCAGAAAGGUUACCACACGGAUAACUGGCUUGUGGCAGCCAAGCGUUCAUAGCGAGGUUUCUUUUUGAUUCUUCGAUGCGAGCUCUUCCUAUCAUUGUGAAGCAGAAUUCACCAAGUGUUGGAUUGUUCACCCAACAAUAGGGAACGUGAGCUGGGUUUAGACCGUUGUGAGACAUGUUAGUUUUACCCUACUGAUGACAGUGUCGCGAUAGUAAUUCAACCUAGUAUGAGAGGAACCGUUGAUUCACACAAUUGGUUAUCGCGCUUGGUUGAAAAGCCAGUGGCGCGAAGCUACCGUGUGCCAGAAUAUGACUGAACGCCUCUAAAUCAGAAUUCAAGCUAGCAUAGGACGCAUGUGCCCGCCGAUCGCCCUGAACCACGUUAGGGGCGCUUGCGCCCCCAAGGGCCCGUGCCAUUGGCUAAGCCGGUCCCACCGACGUGUCGUGAUCGACCGCCUCGAAGCUUCCUUCCCAACGGGCGGUAGGCUGAAUCCUUUGGAGACGAAUUAAAUAUGCGACGGGGCAUUGUAAGUGGCAGAGUGGCCUUGCUGGCACGAUCCACUGAGAUCCAGCCCCAUGUCGCAUGGAUUUGUCCCUCCCCCACACC